This 435-nucleotide ribosomal RNA is filed under the name Pseudomonas sp. LL36. RNAcentral describes it as "bacterial SSU rRNA". It matches the Rfam family "Bacterial small subunit ribosomal RNA", at positions 66 to 494 of the family's 1533-position model. The record is from RNAcentral. Lineage: Bacteria; Pseudomonadati; Pseudomonadota; Gammaproteobacteria; Pseudomonadales; Pseudomonadaceae.
GCGGCAGCACGGGUACUUGUACCUGGUGGCGAGCGGCGGACGGGUGAGUAAUGCCUAGGAAUCUGCCUGGUAGUGGGGGAUAACGCUCGGAAACGGACGCUAAUACCGCAUACGUCCUACGGGAGAAAGCAGGGGACCUUCGGGCCUUGCGCUAUCAGAUGAGCCUAGGUCGGAUUAGCUAGUUGGUGAGGUAAUGGCUCACCAAGGCGACGAUCCGUAACUGGUCUGAGAGGAUGAUCAGUCACACUGGAACUGAGACACGGUCCAGACUCCUACGGGAGGCAGCAGUGGGGAAUAUUGGACAAUGGGCGAAAGCCUGAUCCAGCCAUGCCGCGUGUGUGAAGAAGGUCUUCGGAUUGUAAAGCACUUUAAGUUGGGAGGAAGGGCAGUUACCUAAUACGUGAGUGUUUUGACGUUACCGACAGAAUAAGGCAA